This is a long non-coding RNA of Dermacentor andersoni, 650 nucleotides long. RefSeq lists it as uncharacterized. The record is from RefSeq and is a predicted model, not a curated record. NCBI's taxonomy places the organism in Eukaryota, Metazoa, Arthropoda, Arachnida, Ixodida, Ixodidae.
CAGCAAGGACAGCAAGAAUCGCACGCUGUGAACGGCGUAGUAUGCCUGAAGCCAAGCUGCAUCGGUGCCACACGCUUUGUAUAUCAAGCCUUCGUCAGCGCUCGGGCAGAUUUGACCACCGCAGCUUUGGCAGAGAGAGCAAUCAAUGGCGUCGAAGACGUGGUCACUCUAUUCUGCGUGGUUUCUCUUAGCGGUUAUCGUGGCCAUGAGCACUGUUGGUGCAGAAGGGUCAAAGUUACUUAUUCCAUCAAGGCCAAAGUGUAAACAGGGAGAACAUUCAGGAUGUAUGAAACCUCCCGGUAGUAUGUGCGGCGAGGACACAUGCAACGUGAAAAAGCGCGGUAAUUUUUGCACUUAUGAAUGUCUAAUGGGCUGCGUGUGUAACAAAGGCCUGUAUCGUCACUUGUCGGACGGGAAGUGCGUUGCCCAAAGUGAAUGCAAUGCCUAAUCUCACCGACGAUGACGUCAUGCGGAUACGGCGCAGUACUAAACGACAGCAGCUGCAUUUCCCAGAUUUUUCCCGAUGCCUCGUGAUUCCAGAGCCACGAUCUUGAAGAAGUCACGUCGAAGGGACAGUCUGGCUGUUAUCUGACCGUUCUAAAACACGGGAAAAGAACAGAACAAAAACAAAUAAAACAUGCUCUUCAUUA